This is a long non-coding RNA of Sander lucioperca (pikeperch), 1057 nucleotides long. RefSeq lists it as uncharacterized. The record is from RefSeq and is a predicted model, not a curated record. NCBI's taxonomy places the organism in Eukaryota, Metazoa, Chordata, Actinopteri, Perciformes, Percidae. The transcript has 4 exons.
UCUAGAAUCACUUUACAGAGAGACUCAGGGAGGAGCUGAGCUGUUACUGAACUAUAGAAGAGAGAGGAACUUCUAUAUUCAACAGAGUUCAAUACACAAACCAUCAACAUUACCUUUAUUCAACAUGCUGUCACUGCAGCAUUGUGUGUUUUCUCUGAUGUUCCUUUCCAUUCUAACAGGUAUCAGCUGUGAAGAUCUCACUCCAGUCGAGAAAGAAGAGAACAGUUUAGAAGGCAGCUCUGUUACUCUGUCCUACAGAUACUCCAAACAAGUGGAUAACAAUGAUUAUUUCUUCUGGUAUCGACAAUAUCCAGGAAACCCACCAGAGUUCCUCAUCUUUCACUUUGGAACGCAAAGUGCAACAAACUCUGGACUGUCUGUUUCUGUAAGUGAGGAUAAAACCAAAAUGGUUCUUCAGAUCUCCUCUGCUGCAGUGACAGACUCUGCUCUGUACUACUGUGCUGUGAGGCCCACAGUGACAGCAAACCCACAGUCUCUGUACAAAAACACAAGCUGACACACUGACAAGCUGCUGGAAGACUUUUUUCCACAAUUUUGUAAUGAACUUUGUACCUCCACUAGAGGGCGACAUUAUCAAGUAGGCGGUGCACUACUUCUGCACUGUGUUCAACCAUUCAGUCAAUAAUAAGUGCUGCUGUGAAGAGAACAAUUCUCAGACUGAAUGUUGAACAUCAGCUAGUUUCUCCUGUUGAUUUAAACCUUGUUAUAGAGAUGGGACAUUGGCUGUGGAUUAUUCUUGCUGUUCUUUUCUUUGAGUGUAAAGGAGAAGACAGAGUGAUCCAGCCAACAGGAGAUGUCAUUACUACUGAAGGAGAGACAGUUACUCUUGACUGUACAUUUGAGACAACUGCUUCCUAUUCUUAUUUGUUGUGGUACAAACAAGAAGUAAAUGGCUUUCCAAAGUUUAUGCUACAAAUCUACUCUGGAGCAAAAGAUGCUGAAAACUUUCAGAAAGAAAGAAUUUAUGCUACACUCAAGGAUAAGUCCUUUCCUCUGAAGAUCCAGAAGCUUCAGCUGUCUGACUCUGCUGUGUACU